UACUAGAGUAGCACUCGCAUAUCAAUAAGCGGAGGAAAAGAAACUAACAAGGAUUCCCCUAGUAACGGCGAGUGAAGCGGGAAGAGCUCAAAUUUGAAAUCUUAAAGGGUUUCCCUUUACGAAUUGUAGUUUAAAGAAGUGUUUUCUGUUGAGGUUUUGGUAAAAGUUCUUUGGAAUAGGACAUCAUAGAGGGUGAGAAUCCCGUAUUUGACCUUUACUUUCAACUUUGUGAUACACUUUCAAAGAGUCGGAUUGUUUGGGAAUGCAGUCCAAAAUGGGUGGUAAAUUUCAUCUAAAGCUAAAUAUUGGCGAGAGACCGAUAGCGAACAAGUACCGUGAGGGAAAGAUGAAAAGAACUUUGAAAAGAGAGUUAAACAGUACGUGAAAUUGUCAAAAGGGAAGCGUUUGACACCAGUGUUGUUUUUCUGAAAAUCAAUUAAAGAACUGUUUAUGCUAAGUUGCUUAGACUUUAUCAGCUAACUGUUUAGUUUUGAGCUUUUCUUUAAUGCACUUUUCAGUUAACAAGUCAACAUCAAUUUCUUUUGCUGUAAAAAAGCUUGAGGAAGGUGGCUUGAGAUUCGUCUUAAGUGUUUAUAGCCUCUUGCCUAUGCAGUCGGAGAGAUUGAGGUCUGCAGCGUAGAUCCUUCGGGGCUAAAUGCAUUUGUGCUAAGUUAUAGCAUUUUAUAGACAACUUGUUGACUAUGAUUUGUCUUGUAGCUUACUCGCUUAUGUUAUUUUACCUACGCUUAGGAUGUUGAUCUCUCACAGUCGAGC
RNAcentral lists this ribosomal RNA (774 nucleotides) under uncultured Neocallimastigales. RNAcentral's name for it is "partial large subunit ribosomal RNA". It matches the Rfam family "Eukaryotic large subunit ribosomal RNA", at positions 20 to 645 of the family's 3401-position model. The record is from RNAcentral. Lineage: Eukaryota; Fungi; Neocallimastigomycota; Neocallimastigomycetes; Neocallimastigales.